AUGGAUAAUGCUUCAAACAACAUGGGAGCAAAGGUGAUGUUGAAAGAUAAACGGCCCAAGUUAUUUUGGACCUCGUGUGCAACUCACACCAUCAACUUGAUGGUAGAAGAGGUUGCAAAGUUGAAGCAUUUUGGUUCUACAAUAACCAAAGCCAAAGAAAUGACUACUUUCCUUUAUGCACAUCAUACUACAUUGGCCUUGAUGAGGUCCUAUACAAAAAAGAGAGACAUUGUUAGACCGGGGGUGACUAGAUUUGCUUCGGCAUUUCUUACCUUGCAAAGUCUUGAUGCUAAGAGGAAGCAACUAAAGGAAAUGUGUUGUAGUGAUACUUGGGAAGGAUGCAAGCACAUGAGAACAAAGAAAGGGAAGGUGGCUCAUGCCGCAAUAAUGAGUAGGGCAUUUUUGGAAAAACGUGUCUCUUUGCAUUAA
Molecule: ribosomal RNA, 429 nt
Filed under: Triticum aestivum (bread wheat)
Lineage: Eukaryota; Viridiplantae; Streptophyta; Magnoliopsida; Poales; Poaceae
Description: partial small subunit ribosomal RNA
Source: RNAcentral